UUGCCCCCAGUCUCUUAUUUAUAAGGAACUUAUUUAUAAGAGACUAUUCAAAAAGUCUCCAUGGAAUUUUUAUCCUCGGGACUUUUAUCCUUGGGAUUUAUAUCCUCGGGAUUUAUAUCCGUAGAAUGUUCAUCCUUUCGGGAGACCAAAACCUUCUCGAAGGACGUUUGUCCGGCCUUAUAACCCCUCCGACCUUAUGUCGCCAAAAUAUUCGUCCCGACCCCUGUGGGAGGCUUUGAUCAGACUUUAUAUCUGCUGAAGGUAAACAGCCGACGAUAAGAUGAAACCGGUGUGAUAUAGUCCGAGGCAAACUGCAAUUAUCCGAAGAGGAUUGUUGUUGCCCGAAGUGAGUUGUUGCCCAAAGUGUCACGGAUAACAAUUUUUGACUGUGGAAGUGUGCUAAAAUCUGAACUCUGAUUCUAACUUUAGUGUCGAAGUUGGAUUUGAUGUCCU
RNAcentral lists this long non-coding RNA (453 nucleotides) under Panax ginseng (ginseng). RNAcentral's name for it is "long non-coding RNA (PGIN_LNC012138)". The record is from RNAcentral. Lineage: Eukaryota; Viridiplantae; Streptophyta; Magnoliopsida; Apiales; Araliaceae.